RNAcentral lists this ribosomal RNA (253 nucleotides) under uncultured bacterium. RNAcentral describes it as "partial 16S ribosomal RNA". It matches the Rfam family "Bacterial small subunit ribosomal RNA", at positions 524 to 776 of the family's 1533-position model. The record is from RNAcentral.
UACGUAGGGUGCAAGCGUUGUCCGGAAUUAUUGGGCGUAAAGAGCUCGUAGGCGGUUUGUCGCGUCUGCUGUGAAAACUCGGGGCUCAACUCCGAGCUUGCAGUGGGUACGGGCAGACUAGAGUGCGGUAGGGGAGACUGGAAUUCCUGGUGUAGCGGUGGAAUGCGCAGAUAUCAGGAGGAACACCGGUGGCGAAGGUGGGUCUCUGGGCCGUAACUGACGCUGAGGAGCGAAAGCAUGGGGAGCGAACAGG